RNAcentral lists this ribosomal RNA (1369 nucleotides) under uncultured bacterium. Its description in RNAcentral is "bacterial SSU rRNA". It matches the Rfam family "Bacterial small subunit ribosomal RNA", at positions 28 to 1381 of the family's 1533-position model. The record is from RNAcentral.
GACGAACGCUGGCGGCGUGCCUAAUACAUGCAAGUAGAACGCUGAAGAGAGGAGCUUGCUCUUCUUGGAUGAGUUGCGAACGGGUGAGUAACGCGUAGGUAACCUGCCUUGUAGCGGGGGAUAACUAUUGGAAACGAUAGCUAAUACCGCAUAACAAUGGAUGACACAUGUCAUUUAUUUGAAAGGGGCAAUUGCUCCACUACAAGAUGGACCUGCGUUGUAUUAGCUGGUAGGUGAGGUAAUGGCUCACCUAGGCGACGAUACAUAGCCGACCUGAGAGGGUGAUCGGCCACACUGGGACUGAGACACGGCCCAGACUCCUACGGGAGGCAGCAGUAGGGAAUCUUCGGCAAUGGGGGCAACCCUGACCGAGCAACGCCGCGUGAGUGAAGAAGGUUUUCGGAUCGUAAAGCUCUGUUGUAAGUCAAAAACGGGUGUGAGAGUGGAAAGUUCACACUGUGACGGUAGCUUACCAGAAAGGGACGGCUAACUACGUGCCAGCAGCCGCGGUAAUACGUAGGUCCCGAGCGUUGUCCGGAUUUAUUGGGCGUAAAGCGAGCGCAGGCGGUUUGAUAAGUCUGAAGUUAAAGGCUGUGGCUCAACCAUAGUUCGCUUUGGAAACUGUCAAACUUGAGUGCAGAAGGGGAGAGUGGAAUUCCAUGUGUAGCGGUGAAAUGCGUAGAUAUAUGGAGGAACACCGGUGGCGAAAGCGGCUCUCUGGUCUGUAACUGACGCUGAGGCUCGAAAGCGUGGGGAGCGAACAGGAUUAGAUACCCUGGUAGUCCACGCCGUAAACGAUGAGUGCUAGGUGUUGGAUCCUUUCCGGGAUUCAGUGCCGCAGCUAACGCAUUAAGCACUCCGCCUGGGGAGUACGACCGCAAGGUUGAAACUCAAAGGAAUUGACGGGGGCCCGCACAAGCGGUGGAGCAUGUGGUUUAAUUCGAAGCAACGCGAAGAACCUUACCAGGUCUUGACAUCCCGAUGCUAUUUCUAGAGAUAGAAAGUUACUUCGGUACAUCGGUGACAGGUGGUGCAUGGUUGUCGUCAGCUCGUGUCGUGAGAUGUUGGGUUAAGUCCCGCAACGAGCGCAACCCCUAUUGUUAGUUGCCAUCAUUCAGUUGGGCACUCUAGCGAGACUGCCGGUAAUAAACCGGAGGAAGGUGGGGAUGACGUCAAAUCAUCAUGCCCCUUAUGACCUGGGCUACACACGUGCUACAAUGGUUGGUACAACGAGUUGCGAGUCGGUGACGGCGAGCUAAUCUCUUAAAGCCAAUCUCAGUUCGGAUUGUAGGCUGCAACUCGCCUACAUGAAGUCGGAAUCGCUAGUAAUCGCGGAUCAGCACGCCGCGGUGAAUACGUUCCCGGGCCU